UGAAUUCCACUUCUCCACAUUAUAAGUGUGCGAGUCUAGCCACACAGUAAAAUGCAUGUUUAGAUUCAUGGAAUUCAGCAGAAUCAGACACAUUAUAAUUUUAUGCAAAAUCUCGGGGGUUCUUCGUAAUUUCAACAAAUUCACCAAGAUUCCAAACAUUCACGUGAGUAAUAUUUUUCAAUGGGUUAGAUUGUUAGAACAGGAUCAAAUUAUUGUGGUGAAUGUGAAUAAAUAACCAUGUUUUUGUCUCCUUUGAAGGGAAUAAAUAAUACUUUCAGUGACAGAUAGAUGAAGUUAUAAGUGACAGUGCCACAGUGGCAUUUAUUUCAACAACAGUUCCUUUCUUUGUCUUCAUUUCUUCCAAACUCCCAACUUUACCAAAAACGGAUUAAUUUUGAUGGGUAACAAACAAAUCUUUUCUUUUUCUCUUUUCAUACACAACUCCAAAAUUUCAAGAUUUUUCCCAUUCUGAGCUAUGUGAUUCUUUACUUUUGUUAAAUUCUUGUUUCCUUUCCACUAAUCUCUGUUGCUGGUGCUUUGUUUUUGCAGCAAAAGCAAUCCCUUUGUGUAACAAAUGGUAUGGACAUGGACAACACUUCUGGACCACACAUUCCUUGCAAAAUUUCAACCACCGGUUUGUUUCCUCAACUUGCUUACAUUCUACAAAUAAUAUUCUUAGCAUUAUUACAUUUACAUAUCAUUUUUCACAUUUACUAAUAUGACUCCAUCUACAUGUAGUAGUUUCUUUUCAUACAUACAUAGUAAAUUCCCAUUUUUUUUAGUAUACAAGAAAAAUAAAUCGGAACAAUUUAGUCACCGCAUGAACAUUGUCACAUCUAGUCCAAUUCAAUUCAGCUAGGGACUAAGUUUGUCUGGUUUAAUUUUACAAGUAGUAAAAAAAUGCUUUUAUGCUUUUUCCAGGGACUAGAUUGGAUUUCACGUUUUUUCGAAGAAUUACAUUCGGUCUUCACUCUUUAANNN
This 981-nucleotide long non-coding RNA is filed under the name Trifolium pratense (red clover). Its description in RNAcentral is "long non-coding RNA (TPRA_LNC000422)". Lineage: Eukaryota; Viridiplantae; Streptophyta; Magnoliopsida; Fabales; Fabaceae. The record is from RNAcentral.